CGAGCUUCCCCUCCUCUCGGCUGGUCAUCCCUCCUCGCGCACGGAAGUGCGUCGGGGGAAGAAAAGCGCCUCCUUUCGGUAGGCAAACCGCCCGGCAGUUCACCAGAAAGAAAAACUUUCACCACCACCCUGGGAGGGCUGAAUAAUAUUCUGUUGUCCGGAUGUACCAAAGUUUAUUUAUCCAUCCACCUACUGAAGGACAUCUUGGAUGCUUCCAAGUUUUGGCAAUAAAAAUAAGCUUCUGUAAACAUCAAGGUGCAAAUUUUUACAUGGACAUAAGUUUUCAACUCAUUUGGAUGAAUACUAAGGACCAUAAUUUCUGGAUUGUAUGGAGUGAAGAAAGCUCUGGAGGGAACGUGGAACAGUGAAAGAAGAGAAAAGCUUUACCUUGAUAGAAUCAGGACCACCAACGGACCUUUUCUGUCUCUAGCUUGGAACCUGGGAUCAGAAAGGAACAUUCACCUUCUGCACUUCGUCUUUUCUCCUUCACAUGUUCUUGAGCUGCACAGAUAACCUGCCUUACCACUUCAAGAGAAGCCAGCUGAAUGGAAGGUGAUUCUCGGGUCAAAAUUACUCGAUGUAGUACAUUCAACAACUCGAUACCCAAGUCCUAUCACAGAAAACAGGAAGCUGGGAGGCAAAUUCUGAAGGCAAAGUUAGGAGAGCAAAAUCCUGAAGCGCAGCAAGCCAGAGCCUACUUAAUGUGCCAAGAUCUGCGUGGACUAAGUCAAGCAGCCCGUCUGAUGAAAUCGACCCGUUUCCGACACUCUCUUCUGAACAGGUAGUCUUCAAAGAUGUGAUGCAGUCUGCUGACCAGCUGGGGAACUGCUCUGGAUUCCCUAACUGCCAGCCAUCAGAAGCUGCCUUUGAAUCAUG
Long non-coding RNA from Balaenoptera musculus (blue whale), 876 nucleotides. RefSeq lists it as uncharacterized. The record is from RefSeq and is a predicted model, not a curated record. The transcript is spliced from 6 exons. NCBI's taxonomy places the organism in Eukaryota, Metazoa, Chordata, Mammalia, Artiodactyla, Balaenopteridae.